UCUCUUUAUUUAUUUUUUUUUCUAAGUUUUAUGAUUCCCAACAGAUUUGUACCUUUCAACUAAAAUUAAUUAACACUACAAGCUGUCUAAAAUAAUAAUUAUUAAAAAUAUUUCCGAAAUUGAUUCUGGGCAUUAAUUUAAGACAAGAUUAAGAUUAUUAAGAGACGCACUUUAGAAUCCUAAUGUGAAGUAAUAAAAACUUUUCAUGUAUUAAUUUGGUAAGUUUUGAGAGUGAUUUUAGUUCAUAAAAUAGCAAUGGUUUAAAAGAUUUCUGCUAAUGUAGCUUAAAUAUAUUUUGUAUUAUUUUUUGCAGGAAAGUCGUGAAGGAAGAGAAAAGUUUGUUAAGAAAAAUAAGAAAAAUCCUAGUGCUGGUAAAACUCAAAAGGAGCAUAACAAGCGGAAAGCAUUUAUGAUGAUAAAACACAAAGUCAGGUCCAAAACAAAACGAUCUUUUAAAGAUAAACAGAUUUCCUUGAGGAAUGCAUUGUUAAAACGAAGAAAGAAUAAAUAGGCUGUAAUAGUUUUGUAAACCUCCUUUGUAAAUAAAAUUAUUGUAUAUA
This is a non-coding RNA of Parasteatoda tepidariorum (common house spider), 560 nucleotides long. Lineage: Eukaryota; Metazoa; Arthropoda; Arachnida; Araneae; Theridiidae. The record is from RefSeq and is a predicted model, not a curated record.